Pan troglodytes (chimpanzee) is the source of this 2001-nucleotide long non-coding RNA. RefSeq lists it as uncharacterized. The record is from RefSeq and is a predicted model, not a curated record. NCBI's taxonomy places the organism in Eukaryota, Metazoa, Chordata, Mammalia, Primates, Hominidae. The transcript is spliced from 4 exons.
GAAGUCUCAUUCUGUCGCCUAGGCUGGAGUGCAGCGGUGUGAUCUCGGCUCACUGCAACCGCCGCUUCCCGGGUUCAAGCGAUUCUCCUGCCUCAGCCUCCUGAGUAGCUGGAACUACAGGUACACACCACCACACCCGGCUAAUUUUUAUAUUUUUAGUAGAGACAGGGUUUCACGAUGUUGGCCAGGCUAGUCUUGAACUCCUGACCUCAAGUGAUCCACCCCCCCGCCCCCGGUUUGGCCCCCCACAGUGCUGGGAUUACAGGCAUGAGCCACCACACCCCGUCGCCUAACUCUAUUUCUAAAAGCUCUGACAGUUGGAGAUUUCUCUAGCCCACUAGAGUUUCUGGCUUUGGGGGACAGGGAGGGAAGGGAGGGGAAGCUGUGUUAUAAGAAGAAAGUUAAAAAAGUAAGCAUAAAUUAUUUGAGCUUUAAAGAGACAUUAACAAGCUACCAUACUGAGGGUAUUAAGAACACUAAAAUUUGUUUGGCUUUGGAUAGGGAAGCUACUGAAAUUGAAGAAGAAAAGAUGGGACUGAAUGAGCACUCCUUGGGUUGGAGAAAAACCAACAUGAUCAUUAUAUAAUCAUCAUAAUAAUGAUAAUGGACAUUUGUAUAGCACUUGGCAGUUUACAAGUUACUUUCUUAUAAUAAUAAUUACCACUAUAUGGUACAUUACAGUAACAAAUACUUUUUAGGGCUUUACCCCGUGCCACUGUAAAAGUUGGUAUUAGUGGAAGAUGUAAAUAGACUUAUCUACAUGAUUAAGGAACUAGGAGGGGUGGAGGUUCAACACCAGCAGUUGGACAGCAAACAUCUUAGCAGACCAGGCACAUCUUCAGCCACACCCUUGGGUUCAACUUGGUGGUCUCCUGGUUGGGGUCAGGAGCAGAAGUGGGGCCAUGGCCUCCACUUCCCUUCCUGGGCAAUGUGCCUUUCUUUCAUCACCAUGGAGUCCUUGCCUUUGUUUUGUUUCUCCUUGUCAUUUAUUUCCAUUAACAUGCAGUGGUUUUGUCCUUUCUCUUCCCGAUUAUCACUUUCCUCACCUAGAUAGAGAAGAACCAGCCCUCACCUAGCUCACUAGUCUGUAUCAGGCUCAAAUGAGGUGAUGUAUGUAAAAAGGUUUUGAGACGUUAAAAAGCACAGUCCAGAAAUACCUGAAAGCAUGUAAACUCUUAUGAUUUGGGGGCUUAGCAGGACCAGGAAUUUGAUCUCAUUGCCUCCAGGUCAUAUCAUGACCCUCUAGGAUCCCUCCUCCCUGUCACACAUCCCUCUAUGGGCACAUUGAUUCCAGGAUUUCCAGAGUACAUCAGGGCUGAGUCGACCUCAUGGCCCUCGUGGAUUGUCUCUGAUAUGGUUUGGCUCUGCGUCCCUACCCAAAUGUUAUCUUGAAUUAUAAUCCCCACAUGUUAGGGAGGGACCUGGUGGGAGGUGACUCAAUCGUGGUGCGGUUUGCCCCAUGCUGUUCUCGUGAUGAUGAGUGAGUUCUCGCGAGAUCUGACGGCUUAAAAGUGUGGCACUUCCUGCCUCACUCUCUCUCCUGCUGCACUGUGAAGAAACUGCUUGCUUCCCUCUCACCCUCUGCAGUUUCCUGAGGCCUCCCCAGCCAUGCGGAACUGCCAGAUGCAGUGCCUCAUGCCUGUAAUCCCAGCACUUUGGGAGGCUAAGGAGGGAGGAUUGCUUGAGCCUGCUUCCAUAUCGUAAACUGCCUUGGAACCAAGUACCACUACCAGGGAGACAAACUAUUGCUUAGAGGAUGCUGACGGGAGCAGCAUGCCAAAAUUGGAAGAAAAUCAAGCCCAAGUUUUCCCUAUGGAUGAUGCAAAUUCAACUGCUGACUGACCACUGGGAACCCAAUCCAACAGCCUGGUCAGUUCCCUCGGCGCAGGCCCAGCACCUCCCAGGCCCACCUUCCUCACUUCCGUCAAGCCUCAUGGCAGCAUCUGCCCACACAGGAAAGAGACAAAACCAUUACCAAUAAAAUUGUGAAGUUUUCCAAAA